Long non-coding RNA from Ornithorhynchus anatinus (platypus), 311 nucleotides. RefSeq lists it as uncharacterized. The transcript has 2 exons. The record is from RefSeq and is a predicted model, not a curated record. NCBI's taxonomy places the organism in Eukaryota, Metazoa, Chordata, Mammalia, Monotremata, Ornithorhynchidae.
UGUCAAUUCUGUUGUACUGUACUUUACCAUUGCUUGGUAUAAUAUUCUUCAUACUGUAAGGCUUUCCAGUGUGGAAUUUGGGAACCUAGUGGGGAGGGAUUGUGGAACUAGGUAGAGGGGAGUGGUAGAACCAGAUUAGGAAAGGGGUGGAAGGAGUGAGGAGAGGCAACAGUUUUGAGUGGAGGGGGCACCUAGAGACAGCCUUAGACUGAAUGGACUGGAGCAGAGGCACUCUGCAGCAAAACUACAAAUAAUAUAGAAGGUCUUCAGGAUUCAUGUGUUCACACUUGUGAGGAACUUUGAGCUUCUCU